CUGGAAAGACUGUUAAAUAACUAAUUUAUCACUUUGAUGAAAGUUUAUGGGGCAGCAGGCACACUUGGUGGGUUUGGAGGCCCAGGCGGAUAUGGAACAGGACCCGGUGGCUUUGGAGGUGGUCCAGGUGGUUAUGGUGGUGGCCCAGGUGACUAUGGUGGUGGCCCAGGCAGUGCUGGUGGACUUGGAGGGCCUGGAAUAGGUGGGCUUGGUUAUGGUCCUGGCGCAGUAAAACCACCUAAAAGCUAUGGAGGAACUGGAACAUUGGGUGGCGCUGGAAGAGGAGGAAUUGGUGGAGGUCCUGGAGGUCUUGGUGGUGGUCUAGGAGUAGGACCAGGAGGUGUUGGUGGAGGUCCUGGAGGAGUUGGAGGACUGGGUGGAGGUAUCAUGUGCUUUAAUAUACAUUAAACA
Molecule: long non-coding RNA, 411 nt
Filed under: Sinocyclocheilus anshuiensis
Lineage: Eukaryota; Metazoa; Chordata; Actinopteri; Cypriniformes; Cyprinidae
Description: lncRNA (ENSSANG00000035390.1)
Source: RNAcentral